UGAUUUUUUAUAUAAAAGUAAAAUUUAAUAUAAAUGUAAUAAUAUAGCAAUAGCUUCGUUGUUGAAUCUGUGACAUCUUUAAGGGAAACUGGGAUUGGAUACCCCACUAUUUCUAGGCGUAAAUUAAGAGAUUUACCAGAGUACUACAAAUGAAAUAAUUUAAAACUCAAAGAGCUUGGCGGUAUUUUAGACCACUUAGGGGAACCUGUCUCAUAAUCGACAAUCCACGUUAAACCUUACCUUUUUUUGUAACCAGCUUGUAUACCGUUGUCAUCAGGUAACUUCUAAAGAACAAAGCAGUUAGCUAAAAAAUUUAUUUAAAUUUAGAUGUCAAAUCAAGGUGCAGCUUAUAAAAAGGAGAAGAUGGGUUACAAUUAUAAAUUAUAAUACGGAUAUGUAUACUGAAAAUAGCUUGAAGGAGGACUUAAAAGUAAACUUUUUAUAUAAAGAUAAUUUGAACAAGGCUCUAAAAUGUGCACACAU
RNAcentral lists this ribosomal RNA (483 nucleotides) under Phymorhynchus cingulatus. RNAcentral's name for it is "partial small subunit ribosomal RNA". Lineage: Eukaryota; Metazoa; Mollusca; Gastropoda; Neogastropoda; Raphitomidae. The record is from RNAcentral.